CAUCAUUCCAAAGAACACAGUUCCACUGCUUCACAACUCAAUACUAGGGGCUUUAUACCCCCUAUAUGUAGUGUUUUAGUAUCAUAAACAAGAGGUCUCUGUCUCGUCUCAGAUUCAACCUUGUUUGGUAUCGAUCUUGUCUCAGUUUCUGGGUGAGGUGGACUUAAAGACUGUGGACGGGACCGGCUGAGAUAAGUAAAGAUUUGUGCUAGAUGUGGAGCACUGCUGUGAGAGUUUUAAUGAGAAGCAGCCGGUUAAAGUGCUGGAGGGAGCUUUCCAUAAGGAGCCAGAGUUCUAUAGCAUGAUUUGCACGGGAUAAAAACAUCUCAGGAUAACUGAUUGAAAUGGGAGUGGCUAUCCACUGCUGCCAACUCCUAAAAUCAACCCCAAAUUUACACAGCCAAUUAGCCAACCCAUUCAUUAG
RNAcentral lists this long non-coding RNA (424 nucleotides) under Astyanax mexicanus (Mexican tetra). RNAcentral's name for it is "lncRNA (ENSAMXG00005017970.1)". The record is from RNAcentral. Lineage: Eukaryota; Metazoa; Chordata; Actinopteri; Characiformes; Acestrorhamphidae.